This 526-nucleotide ribosomal RNA is filed under the name uncultured bacterium. Its description in RNAcentral is "bacterial SSU rRNA". It matches the Rfam family "Bacterial small subunit ribosomal RNA", at positions 369 to 885 of the family's 1533-position model. The record is from RNAcentral.
CAAUGGACGAAAGUCUGACGGAGCAACGCCGCGUGAGUGAUGAAGGUUUUCGGAUCGUAAAACUCUGUUGUUAGGGAAGAACAAGUACCGUUCGAAUAGGGCGGUACCUUGACGGUGCCUAACCAGAAAGCCACGGCUAACUACGUGCCAGCAGCCGCGGUAAUACGUAGGUGGCAAGCGUUGUCCGGAAUCAUUGGGCGUAAAGCGCGCGCAGGUGGUUCCUUAAGUCUGAUGUGAAAGCCCCCGGCUCAACCGGGGAGGGUCAUUGGAAACUGGGGAACUUGAGUGCAGAAGAGGAAAGUGGAAUUCCACGUGUAGCGGUGAAAUGCGUAGAGAUGUGGAGGAACACCAGUGGCGAAGGCGACUUUCUGGUCUGUAACUGACACUGAGGCGCGAAAGCGUGGGGAGCGAACAGGAUUAGAUACCCUGGUAGUCCACGCCGUAAACGAUGAGUGCUAAGUGUUAGGGGGUUUCCGCCCCUUAGUGCUGCAGCAAACGCAUUAAGCACUCCGCCUGGGGAGUACGG